CCGAGGAAACACACGGUCAGUAUGGGCAUCACUACUCAGAAACGACAAAGAAAAGAUCUAAAUGAACAGCAAGUUACUGUUCUUGAAACAGCUUUCUCUGAAGGUUUAAUUUCAGCUGGAAGAAAGUUUCAGAAUGGGUUUAAAGAAUUAAGUCUUCAGACAGGACUGUCUGAAGACAGAAUCAAAGCAAGUAUAUUGUUGGGUUCAGGUAAUGUUUAUGGGUAUUUGUUAAUCAUAAUUUGUUACAGAUACCUUUUUAUUCAAGCACAUCCAUUAUUUUGUGUCAAAUUGUACAUUUUCAAAAGUUCUGAAAACAUCUGUCCAAACUAUUGUUUUACAUUACAAA
Haliotis rubra (blacklip abalone) is the source of this 346-nucleotide long non-coding RNA. RefSeq lists it as uncharacterized. Lineage: Eukaryota; Metazoa; Mollusca; Gastropoda; Lepetellida; Haliotidae. The record is from RefSeq and is a predicted model, not a curated record. The transcript is spliced from 3 exons.